GCGGCCGCGCCCGCACCCGCACCGGCACCCACGCCCACGCCCGAGGAAGGGCCCGACGCGGGCUGGGGAGACCGCAUUCCCUUGGAAAUCCUGGUGCAGAUUUUCGGGUUGUUGGUGGCGGCGGACGGCCCCAUGCCCUUCCUGGGCAGGGCUGCGCGCGUGUGCCGCCGCUGGCAGGAGGCCGCUUCCCAACCCGCGCUCUGGCACACCGUGACCCUGUCGUCCCCGCUGGUCGGCCGGCCUGCCAAGGGCGGGGUCAAGGCGGAGAAGAAGCUCCUUGCUUCCCUGGAGUGGCUUAUGCCCAAUCGGUGAGGGGUUCCCUCUCUUCCUUACCCCUGGCUCCAGGCUCCUUCCGUCUCCCUGCACCAAGGUGUUGGGUGGGAAGGACUCGUGUGGGAACAUUAGUGCAGCUCUGCCUCCGCUGUCGGCCCAGGUUUUCACAGCUCCAGAGGCUGACCCUCAUCCACUGGAAGUCUCAGGUACACCCCGUGUUGAAGGUGAGAGCU
This 506-nucleotide long non-coding RNA is filed under the name Homo sapiens (human). RNAcentral's name for it is "F-box and leucine rich repeat protein 6 (ENSG00000285442.2)". Lineage: Eukaryota; Metazoa; Chordata; Mammalia; Primates; Hominidae. The record is from RNAcentral.